This is a non-coding RNA of Acanthosepion pharaonis, 114 nucleotides long. NCBI's taxonomy places the organism in Eukaryota, Metazoa, Mollusca, Cephalopoda, Sepiida, Sepiidae. The record is from the annotation of a GenBank genome assembly.
GGUCAUCCCACGAUGAAAGACCGGAUUUCUCGUACGAUCACCGAAGUUAAGCAGUGUAGAGCCAGGUCAGUACUUAGAUGGGGGAUUAAAUUGGGAACACCUGGUACUGUAAGC